CUCCUGGAAAACGGGUGGUAAUGCCGGAUGCUCCGACUCCUCGCAUGGGGUGUCGGGAAAGAUUUCAUCGGUAUGGGAUGGGGUCGCGUCCUAUCAGGUAGUCGGCGGGGUAACGGCCCACCGAGCCUACGACGGGUAGCCGGCCUGAGAGGGCGACCGGCCACAUUGGGACUGAGAUACGGCCCAGACUCCUACGGGAGGCAGCAGUGGGGAAUAUUGCACAAUGGGCGCAAGCCUGAUGCAGCGACGCCGCGUGCGGGAUGACGGCCUUCGGGUUGUAAACCGCUUUUGAUCGGGAGCAAGCCUUCGGGUGAGUGUACCUUUCGAAUAAGCACCGGCUAACUACGUGCCAGCAGCCGCGGUAAUACGUAGGGUGCAAGCGUUAUCCGGAAUUAUUGGGCGUAAAGGGCUCGUAGGCGGUUCGUCGCGUCCGGUGUGAAAGUCCAUCGCUUAACGGUGGAUCUGCGCCGGGUACGGGCGGGCUGGAGUGCGGUAGGGGAGACUGGAAUUCCCGGUGUAACGG
Molecule: ribosomal RNA, 523 nt
Filed under: Bifidobacterium pseudocatenulatum
Lineage: Bacteria; Bacillati; Actinomycetota; Actinomycetes; Bifidobacteriales; Bifidobacteriaceae
Description: bacterial SSU rRNA
Rfam family: Bacterial small subunit ribosomal RNA
Source: RNAcentral